RNAcentral lists this long non-coding RNA (428 nucleotides) under Mytilus galloprovincialis (Mediterranean mussel). Lineage: Eukaryota; Metazoa; Mollusca; Bivalvia; Mytilida; Mytilidae. The record is from RNAcentral.
UUUCUGCCAAUAUUUAGGAAAUCGGUUAGGACUUCCUAGCUAAGAUAUUCCUAAGAUAGCUUUGAUGUGCCUGCUGAGACGUGUCCUAAGUCGGUCCUAACUUUAUCCUAAAUCCUGUCCUAAGAAAUUCUUAGGACGGAACUUAGGAUAUUUUCGAUAAACAGGCCCCUGAUCAAUGUUCUUAAGCAACACAUAUUUUCCUUUCAUUUUGUUGUUAGCUUUCUGAAAUAAAUUUUUACAUAUUAUAGAGUAUUAUGAUUCUUUUUUUUCAAUAUAGUUAAACACUAUUUCUGAUUUGAUUUUUCAUAAAUUUUAACAUGUUUACAUGUCUUUUUCUUUUUCUUCAUCUUUUUGAAACCCUGGUUUUGUAUUACCACUGACCAGUUCAGUAAAGAGACAGCUGCUUCAUGUUUGCAUAAAUGUGUUUG